AGAGUUUGAUCCUGGCUCAGGAUGAACGCCGGCGGUGUGCCUAAUACAUGCAAGUCGUACGCACUGGCCCAACUGAUUGAUGGUGCUUGCACCUGAUUGACGAUGGAUCACCAGUGAGUGGCGGACGGGUGAGUAACACGUAGGUAACCUGCCCCGGAGCGGGGGAUAACAUUUGGAAACAGAUGCUAAUACCGCAUAACAACAAAAGCCGCAUGGUUUUUGUUUGAAAGAUGGCUUUGGCUAUCACUCUGGGAUGGACCUGCGGUGCAUUAGCUAGUUGGUAAGGUAACGGCUUACCAAGGCGAUGAUGCAUAGCCGAGUUGAGAGACUGAUCGGCCACAAUGGAACUGAGACACGGUCCAUACUCCUACGGGAGGCAGCAGUAGGGAAUCUUCCACAAUGGGCGCAAGCCUGAUGGAGCAACACCGCGUGAGUGAAGAAGGGUUUCGGCUCGUAAAGCUCUGUUGUUGGAGAAGAACGUGCGUGAGAGUAACUGUUCACGCAGUGACGGUAUCCAACCAGAAAGUCACGGCUAACUACGUGCCAGCAGCCGCGGUAAUACGUAGGUGGCAAGCGUUAUCCGGAUUUAUUGGGCGUAAAGCGAGCGCAGGCGGUUGCUUAGGUCUGAUGUGAAAGCCUUCGGCUUAACCGAAGAAGUGCAUCGGAAACCGGGCGACUUGAGUGCAGAAGAGGACAGUGGAACUCCAUGUGUAGCGGUGGAAUGCGUAGAUAUAUGGAAGAACACCAGUGGCGAAGGCGGCUGUCUGGUCUGCAACUGACGCUGAGGCUCGAAAGCAUGGGUAGCGAACAGGAUUAGAUACCCUGGUAGUCCAUGCCGUAAACGAUGAGUGCUAGGUGUUGGAGGGUUUCCGCCCUUCAGUGCCGGAGCUAACGCAUUAAGCACUCCGCCUGGGGAGUACGACCGCAAGGUUGAAACUCAAAGGAAUUGACGGGGGCCCGCACAAGCGGUGGAGCAUGUGGUUUAAUUCGAAGCUACGCGAAGAACCUUACCAGGUCUUGACAUCUUGCGCUAACCUUAGAGAUAAGGCGUUCCCUUCGGGGACGCAAUGACAGGUGGUGCAUGGUCGUCGUCAGCUCGUGUCGUGAGAUGUUGGGUUAAGUCCCGCAACGAGCGCAACCCUUGUUACUAGUUGCCAGCAUUGAGUUGGGCACUCUAGUGAGACUGCCGGUGACAAACCGGAGGAAGGUGGGGACGACGUCAGAUCAUCAUGCCCCUUAUGACCUGGGCUACACACGUGCUACAAUGGACGGUACAACGAGUCGCAAACUCGCGAGAGUAAGCUAAUCUCUUAAAGCCGUUCUCAGUUCGGACUGUAGGCUGCAACUCGCCUACACGAAGUCGGAAUCGCUAGUAAUCGCGGAUCAGCAUGCCGCGGUGAAUACGUUCCCGGGCCUUGUACACACCGCCCGUCACACCAUGGGAGUUUGUAACGCCCAAAGUCGGUGGCCUAACCUUUAUGGAGGGAGCCGCCUAAGGCGGGACAGAUGACUGGGGUGAAGUCGUAACAAGGUA
Molecule: ribosomal RNA, 1534 nt
Filed under: metagenome
Description: bacterial SSU rRNA
Rfam family: Bacterial small subunit ribosomal RNA
Source: RNAcentral